AUGACCAUAUCUGAGACGUCCUCGAGAUGCCUGACAGAGUGCAUCACCAUCGCGCACAACUUCGAGGUGAUUAAGUACUCGCUGCUCGAGGGUAUGGGUAUUGGCAAGUCCGUUACCUCGAGCACAUUCAGCGUCGGUUGCUACGACUGGAACAUCCUGAUCUACCCUGAUGGUAGCAAUGAGGAGGACAAAGCUGCCUACAUGUCGGCCCUCUUGUGUUUCUGUAGGGGGGCAACAGCGGGUGUCAAGGUGAAGUUCACUUUGAGUUUAUUGGAGAAAGAUGGGACAGCUAGUGUUAUGGGGGGCGAAACACGUACCUUUCCGCCGGAAGGUCAGACUUGGGGCUGGGCCAAGUUUAUUGACAAGUCUAAGCUGAAGGAACUGCUAUCCCGCAAUGACGACUGCUUCACAAUCAAGUGUGUUUUGACCGUCAUAAAAGACACUCGCACGGAAGAUGCAAGCACAUAUGUAGUUCCACUCCCGCAGUCGGACCUGCACACACACUUUGCAAACAUGUUGAAGGAUGGAGAGGGCAUGGAUGUUACAUUUAGUGUUGGCGGCCAACUCUUCAGUGCACACAGAUGCGUGUUAGCUGCCCGAUCAUCUGUCUUCAGGGAGCUUUUUGGUCAGUUGAAGGAGACUUCCUUGAAACGCAUCGAAAUCGAUGACAUGGAGACAGCCAUCUUUGAGGCACUUCUUCACUUUAUAUACACAGACUCAUUGCCUAGUAACUGGGAUUUGUAUCAGAAUGUGGAAUUGCAGCACAUGCUGGUUGCCGCAGAUCGGUAUGCACUUGACCGGUUAAAGGCUAUGUGUGAAGGGAAGCUAUGCCAGGGAAUCGAUGUGCAAACAGUUGCAACCACCCUUGCGUUAGCGGAGCAGCACCACGCCAUGCAACUCAAGGCUGCUUGUCUCACAUACCUUUCUUCACAGAAGGUGCUUCGAGCUGUCAAGGAGACUGAUGGAUUCAAGCACCUCACAGCAAGCUGCCCAUGGAUUAUGAUGGACAUUUAG
This 1014-nucleotide ribosomal RNA is filed under the name Triticum aestivum (bread wheat). RNAcentral's name for it is "partial small subunit ribosomal RNA". Lineage: Eukaryota; Viridiplantae; Streptophyta; Magnoliopsida; Poales; Poaceae. The record is from RNAcentral.